CUCUCCUCCUAUCUAUUCAUUGCUCUCUCUUCUCCACUAUAUCUAAUUCGCUUUUCCCUUCUCUAUUGUUUUUUCUCUCUCUUCUCACUCAUACUCUGCUCUCUCUUUUCCAUUGUCUUUAUCUCUCUCACUCUUCUUCACUAUUUGUCUCACUCUCUUUUCUACGGUCUGUGUCUCUCUCUUCUUCACUAUCUUUGUCUCUCUUUCUCAUUUCCAUUUUCUGUGUCAAUGACUCUCUUCUCCACUGUCUAUUUCUCUCUCUCUCUCUCUUUUCCAUUGUCUGUGUCUCUCUCUGUCUUUUCUACUUUAUGAGGCUCUCUCUCUGUUUUAAAUAUCUGGUAAUCACUCUUUCUCUUUUCCACACACAAACACUAUCUCUUUCUCUUCUCAAAUAUUUAGCUCUCUCUCUUCUCUACUAUUUAUCUCUCUCCCUCUCUUCUCCACUGUCUAUUUCUCUCUCUCGCUCUUCUCCACUGUCUAUUUCUCUCUCUCUUCUGUCUCUCUCUUCUCCACUGUCUAUCUAUACUCUCCCUCUUCUCCACUGUCUACUGUCUAUUUCACUCUCUCUCUUUUCUCCACUGUCUAUUUAUCUCGCUUGCUCUCUUCUCCUCUGUCUAUUUCUCUCUCUCUCUUCUUCACUGUCUAUUUCUCUCUCUCUUCUACCCUAUCUAUUUCUCUCUCUCUUCUCCACUGUCUAUUUCUCUCUGUCUCUCUUCUCCAGUGUCUAUUUCUCUCUCUCCCUCCCUUUCUUCUCCACUGUCUAUUUCUUUCUCUCUCUCUUCUACACUAUCUAUUUCUCUCUCUCUCUUCUCCUUGUGUCUCUCUCUCUCUCCUCCCUUAUCAUUCUCUCUCUCUCCUCCAUAUCUGUUUCUCUCUACUCUUCUCCACUGUCUGUCCUACUCUUGCUCUUCUCCACUGUUCAUUUCUCUCUCUCUCUCUCUUCUGCACUGUCUAUUUCUCUCUCUCCUCCACUGUCUCUCUCUCUCUCUCUCUCUCCCUCUUCUCCACUGUCUAUUUCUCUCUCUCUCUUUUUUUCUCCACUCUGCUCUGUUCUGUCUUGCUCUCUUCUCCCUGUCUAUUUCUCUUCUCUCUCUUCUUCACUGCUCCAUUCUACUCUCUCUUCUCCACUAUCCUUUCUCUCUCUCUUCCUCCUGUCUAUUUCUCUCUGUCUCUCUUCUCAAUUAGCUUGUAUUUCUCUCUCUCUCCCUCCUUUCUUCUCCACUGUCUAUUUCACUCUCUCUUCUCCACUGUCUGUUUCUCUCUCUCUCUCUUCUCUACUGUCUAUUUCUCUCUCUCUCUUCUCUACUAUCUAUUUCUCUCUCUCCCUAUUCUCCCCUCUCUGUGUCUCUCUCUUCUUCACUGUCUAUUUCUCACUCUCUCUUCUCCAAUGUAUGUCUUUCUCUCUUCUCUGUCUAUUUCUCUCUCUCCCUUCUACCCUAUCUAUUUCUCUCUCUCUUCUCCACUUUCUAUUUCUCUCUGUCUCUCUUCUCCACCGUCUAUUUCACUCUCUCUCCCUCCCUUUCUUCUACACUGUGUAUUUCUUUUCUCUUCUCCACUGCCUACUUCUCUCUCACUCUUCUCCACUGUGUUUCUCUCUCUCUUCUCCACUUUCCAUUUCUCUCUCUGUCUUCUCUACUGUCUGUGUCUCUCUCUCUCUCUCUCUUCUCUGCUAUUUCUCUCUCUCUCUUCUCCAGUGUGUGUAUUUCUCUCACUCUCUUCUCCACUGUCUAUUUCUCUCUCUCACUCUUCUCCACUAUUUCUCUCUCUCACUCUUCUCCACAUCUGUUUCUCUUUUCACACUUCUCACUCCUUGUGCCUUGUCUCUCUCUCCUCCACUGUCUAUUUCUCUCUCUCUCCUCCUCCUCUCUCUCUCUCUCUCUUCUCCACUGUAUAUUUCUCUCUCUCUCUCUGUUUUCUUCACUGUCUAUUUCUCUCUUUCUAUUUUCCACUGUCUCUCUCGCUCCCUUCUCCACUGUCUAUUUCUCCCUCUCUCCUAUCCACUGUUUGUUUCUUUCUCUCUCUUCUCCACUGUCUAUUUCUCCCUCUCUCUCUGUUUUCCACUGUCUGUAUCUCUAUCUCUCUUCUCGACUGUAUAUUUCUCUCUCUCUCUUCUCUACUGCCUAUUUCUCUAUCUCUCUAUUUUCCACUGUCUAUUUCUCUCUCUCUAUUCUUUUUCUUUUUUUUCUCUCACUCUCUUUUCCACUGUCUAUAUCUGUCACUCUUUUCAACUGUCUGUGUCUCUCUCUCUCCUCCACUGUAUAUUUCUCUCUCUCUCUCUCUCUCUCUCUCUCUCUCUCUCUCUUUUCCACUGUCUAUUUCUCUCUCUCUCUCUUCUCCACUGUUUCUCUCUCUCUCUCUUCUCCACUAUUUCUCUUUCACUCUCUUUUCCACUGUCUAUUUCUCCCUCUCUCUAUUCUCCACUAUUUCUCCCUCUCUCUCUUCUCCACUGUCUGUUUCUCUCUCUCUCUCUCUCUCUCUCUCUCUCUCUCUCUCUCUCUCUCUCUCUCUCUCUCUCUCCUCCAUGGUCUAUUUCUCUCUCUCUCUUCUCCACUAUCUGUGUCUCUCUCUCUCUUUUCCAUUGUAUUUAUCUCUCUCUCUUUUCCACUAUUAGUCUCACUCUCUUUUCUACUGUCUGUGUCCCCCUCUCUCUCUUCUUUACUGUUCUCUUUUCUCUCUCAACUACUGUUUCUCUUUUCCUCCUUCUACUGAUGAUUCUCUCUCUCUUUCUGAUGAUUCUCUCUCUCUCUCCACUAUCUGUGUCUCUCUUUCUCUCUUUUCCAUUGUCUUUAUCUCUCUCUCUCUUCUUCACUAUUUUUCUCACUCUCUUUUCUACGGUCGGUGUCUCUCUCUUCUUCACUAUCUUUGUCUCUCUUUCUCAUUUCCAUUUGCUGUGUCAAUGACUCUCUUCUCCAUUGUCUAUUUCUCUCUCUCUCUUUUCCAUUGUCUUGUAUGUUUCUCUAAUACUCCACUGUGAGGUCUCUCUCUCUCUUAGGUUUGUCUCACAUCUCUCUUUUCUCUUUGCUUUUCAAUUAUUUCUCUGUCUCCCUCUUCUCCAUUGUCUAUUUAACUCUCUCUCUCUCUCUUCUCCACUAUUUAUCUCUCUCCCUCUCUUCUCCACAGUCUAUUUCUCUCUCUCUCUUCUCCACUGUCUAUUUAUCUCUCUUGCUCUCUUCUCCCCUGUCUAUUUCUCUCUCUCUUCUCCACUGUCUAUUUCUCUCUGUCUCUCUUCUCCAGUGUCCCUGUUUCUCACUGUCUCUCCCUCCUUUCUUCUCCACUUUGUCACCAUUUCAACUCUCUCUCUCUUCUACUAUCUAUUUUUCUCUCUCAGCUCUUCUCCACUUGUAUUGUCUCUCUCUUCUUCACUGUCUGUUCUCUCUCUCUUUCUUCUAUUUCU
RNAcentral lists this long non-coding RNA (3394 nucleotides) under Sarcophilus harrisii (Tasmanian devil). RNAcentral describes it as "lncRNA (ENSSHAG00000024588.1)". Lineage: Eukaryota; Metazoa; Chordata; Mammalia; Dasyuromorphia; Dasyuridae. The record is from RNAcentral.